GACGAACGCUGGCGGCGUGCUUAACACAUGCAAGUCGAACGGAAAGGCCCUGCUUUUGUGGGGUGCUCGAGUGGCGAACGGGUGAGUAACACGUGAGUAACCUGCCCUUGACUUUGGGAUAACUUCAGGAAACUGGGGCUAAUACCGGAUAGGAGCUCCUGCUGCAUGGUGGGGGUUGGAAAGUUUCGGCGGUUGGGGAUGGACUCGCGGCUUAUCAGCUUGUUGGUGGGGUAGUGGCUUACCAAGGCUUUGACGGGUAGCCGGCCUGAGAGGGUGACCGGCCACAUUGGGACUGAGAUACGGCCCAGACUCGUACGGGAGGCAGAAGAGGGGAAUAUUGCACAAUGGGCGGAAGCCUGAUGCAGCAACGCCGCGUGCGGGAUGACGGCCUUCGGGUUGUAAACCGCUUCCGCCUGUGACGAAGCGUGAGUGACGGUAAUGGGUAAAGAAGCACCGGCUAACUACGUG
This 468-nucleotide ribosomal RNA is filed under the name uncultured bacterium. RNAcentral describes it as "partial 16S ribosomal RNA". It matches the Rfam family "Bacterial small subunit ribosomal RNA", at positions 28 to 507 of the family's 1533-position model. The record is from RNAcentral.